Molecule: small RNA, 526 nt
Filed under: Setophoma terrestris
Lineage: Eukaryota; Fungi; Ascomycota; Dothideomycetes; Pleosporales; Phaeosphaeriaceae
Description: eukaryotic LSU rRNA
Rfam family: 5.8S ribosomal RNA (bases 183-336)
Source: RNAcentral
UUUCCGUAGGUGAACCUGCGGAAGGAUCAUUAUCAAAAGUCAAGUCGGGGGCUGUAAAGCUCUCGUCUACACCCAUGUCUUUUGCGUACUCUUGUUUCCUCGGUGGCGCAAGCUGCCGAUUGGACAAACCAAAACCUUUUUUGUAAUUGCAAUCAGCGUCUGAAAAUAAUCUAAUUAUUUACAACUUUCAACAACGGAUCUCUUGGUUCUGGCAUCGAUGAAGAACGCAGCGAAAUGCGAUAAGUAGUGUGAAUUGCAGAAUUCAGUGAAUCAUCGAAUCUUUGAACGCACAUUGCGCCCCUUGGUAUUCCAUGGGGCAUGCCUGUUCGAGCGUCAUUUGUACCCUCAAGCUUUGCUUGGUGUUGGGCGUCUUGUCGUAUUACGACUCGCCUUGAAUUCAUUGGCAGCCGGCACUUUGGCCUAGGAGCGCAGCACAUUUUGCGAUCGUAGCCCGUUGUACUGGCGUCCAUCAAGAACAUUUACCACGUUUGACCUCGGAUCAGGUAGGGAUACCCGCUGAACUUAA